RNAcentral lists this transfer RNA (85 nucleotides) under Felis catus (domestic cat). It matches the Rfam family "tRNA". From Rfam's summary of the family: Transfer RNA (tRNA) molecules are approximately 80 nucleotides in length. The record is from Rfam by way of RNAcentral. Lineage: Eukaryota; Metazoa; Chordata; Mammalia; Carnivora; Felidae.
GCCUGGGUGGCUCAGUCAGUUAAGCAUCUGACUUUGGCUCAGGUCAUGAUCUCAUGGUUUGUGAGUUCGAGCCCCACAUCAGGCU